This 359-nucleotide ribosomal RNA is filed under the name Allobates aff. insperatus/juami AR-202. RNAcentral's name for it is "partial large subunit ribosomal RNA". It matches the Rfam family "Bacterial large subunit ribosomal RNA", at positions 2048 to 2540 of the family's 2925-position model. Lineage: Eukaryota; Metazoa; Chordata; Amphibia; Anura; Aromobatidae. The record is from RNAcentral.
UUAUUUAAUCAAUAAAACUAAUCUCCCCGUGAAGAAGCGGGGAUACACCUAUAAGACGAGAAGACCCUGUGGAGCUUUAAACACUUUUAAACAUUUGAAUUUUAUUCUUAUUCUAUCUCAACUAAAUCACUCAUUUUGUUAUAAGUUUUAGGUUGGGGUGACCACGGAGAAUAAACAAACCUCCACGUAGAAAGAACCUUACUUUCUAAGCAAAAAACCACAUUUUUAUGCAUCAAAAUAUUUGACCUAAAUUGACCCAAUUUUUUGAUCAACGAACCAAGUUACCCUAGGGAUAACAGCGCAAUCCGCUUUAAGAGCUCCUAUCGACAAGCGGGCUUACGACCUCGAUGUUGGAUCAG